GGGUUGUGAGGUUAAGCGACUAAGCGUACACGGUGGAUGCCCCGGCAGUCAGAGGCGAUGAAGGACGUGCUAAUCUGCGAAAAGCGUCGGUAAGGUGAUAUGAACCGUUAUAGCCGGCGAUGUCCGAAUGGGGAAACCCAGUGCAAUUCGUUGCACUAUCGUUAACUGAAUACAUAGGUUAACGAGGCGAACCGGGGGAACUGAAACAUCUAAGUACCCCGAGGAAAAGAAAUCAACCGAGAUUCCCCCAGUAGCGGCGAGCGAACGGGGAGCAGCCCAGAGUCUGAAUCAGCUUGUGUGUUAGUGGAACGGUCUGGAAAGUCCGACGGUACAGGGUGAUAGUCCCGUACACCAAAAUGCACAGGUUGUGAACUCGAAGAGUAGGGCGGGACACGUGGUAUCCUGUCUGAAUAUGGGGGACCAUCCUCCAAGGCUAAAUACUCCUGACUGACCGAUAGUGAACCAGUACCGUGAGGGAAAGGCGAAAAGAACCCCGGCGAGGGGAGUGAAAAAGAACCUGAAACCGUGUACGUACAAGCAGUGGGAGCACCUUCGGGUGUGACUGCGUACCUUUUGUAUAAUGGGUCAGCGACUUAUAUUCUGUAGCAAGGUUAACCGUAUAGGGGAGCCGCAGGGAAACCGAGUCUUAACUGGGCGUUAAGUUGCAGGGUAUAGACCCGAAACCCGGUGAUCUAGCCAUGGGCAGGUUGAAGGUUGGGUAACACUAACUGGAGGACCGAACCGACUAAUGUUGAAAAAUUAGCGGAUGACUUGUGGCUGGGGGUGAAAGGCCAAUCAAACCGGGAGAUAGCUGGUUCUCCCCGAAAGCUAUUUAGGUAGCGCCUCGUGAAUUCAUCUUCGGGGGUAGAGCACUGUUUCGGCUAGGGGGUCAUCCCGACUUACCAACCCGAUGCAAACUACGAAUACCGAAGAAUGUUAUCACGGGAGACACACGGCGGGUGCUAACGUCCGUCGUGAAGAGGGAAACAACCCAGACCGCCAGCUAAGGUCCCAAAGUCAUGGUUAAGUGGGAAACGAUGUGGGAAGGCACAGACAGCCGGGAUGUUGGCUUAGAAGCAGCCAUCAUUUAAAGAAAGCGUAAUAGCUCACUGGUCGAGUCGGCCUGCGCGGAAGAUGUAACGGGGCUAAACCAUGCACCGAAGCUGCGGCAGCGACACUAUGUGUUGUUGGGUAGGGGAGCGUUCUGUAAGCCUGCGAAGGUGUGCUGUGAGGCAUGCUGGAGGUAUCAGAAGUGCGAAUGCUGACAUAAGUAACGAUAAAGCGGGUGAAAAGCCCGCUCGCCGGAAGACCAAGGGUUCCUGUCCAACGUUAAUCGGGGCAGGGUGAGUCGACCCCUAAGGCGAGGCCGAAAGGCGUAGUCGAUGGGAAACAGGUUAAUAUUCCUGUACUUGGUGUUACUGCGAAGGGGGGACGGAGAAGGCUAUGUUAGCCGGGCGACGGUUGUCCCGGUUUAAGCAUGUAGGCUGGUUGUCGAGGCAAAUCCGGAUAAUCAAGGCUGAGGUGUGAUGACGAGGCACUACGGUGCUGAAGUAACAAAUGCCCUGCUUCCGGGAAAAGCCUCUAAGCAUCAGGUAACAUCAAAUCGUACCCCAAACCGACACAGGUGGUCAGGUAGAGAAUACCAAGGCGCUUGAGAGAACUCGGGUGAAGGAACUAGGCAAAAUGGUGCCGUAACUUCGGGAGAAGGCACGCUGGUGUGUAGGUGAAGCCCCUGCGGGUGGAGCUGAGACCAGUCGAAGAUACCAGCUGGCUGCAACUGUUUAUUAAAAACACAGCACUGUGCAAACACGAAAGUGGACGUAUACGGUGUGACGCCUGCCCGGUGCCGGAAGGUUAAUUGAUGGGGUUAUCCGUAAGGAGAAGCUCUUGAUCGAAGCCCCGGUAAACGGCGGCCGUAACUAUAACGGUCCUAAGGUAGCGAAAUUCCUUGUCGGGUAAGUUCCGACCUGCACGAAUGGCGUAAUGAUGGCCGGCUGUCUCCACCCGAGACUCAGUGAAAUUGAACUCGCUGUGAAGAUGCAGUGUACCCGCGGCAAGACGGAAAGACCCCGUGAACCUUUACUAUAGCUUGACACUGAACAUUGAGCCUUGAUGUGUAGGAUAGGUGGGAGGCUUUGAAGCGUGGACGCCAGUCUGCGUGGAGCCAACCUUGAAAUACCACCCUUUAAUGUUUGAUGUUCUAACGUUGGCCCCUGACCGGGGUUGCGGACAGUGUCUGGUGGGUAGUUUGACUGGGGCGGUCUCCUCCCAAAGCGUAACGGAGGAGCACGAAGGUUAGCUAAUCCUGGUCGGACAUCAGGAGGUUAGUGCAAUGGCAUAAGCUAGCUUGACUGCGAGCGUGACGGCGCGAGCAGGUGCGAAAGCAGGUCAUAGUGAUCCGGUGGUUCUGAAUGGAAGGGCCAUCGCUCAACGGAUAAAAGGUACUCCGGGGAUAACAGGCUGAUACCGCCCAAGAGUUCAUAUCGACGGCGGUGUUUGGCACCUCGAUGUCGGCUCAUCACAUCCUGGGGCUGAAGUAGGUCCCAAGGGUAUGGCUGUUCGCCAUUUAAAGUGGUACGCGAGCUGGGUUUAGAACGUCGUGAGACAGUUCGGUCCCUAUCUGCCGUGGGCGCUGGAGAAUUGAGGGGGGCUGCUCCUAGUACGAGAGGACCGGAGUGGACGCAUCACUGGUGUUCGGGUUGUCAUGCCAAUGGCACUGCCCGGUAGCUAAAUGCGGAAGAGAUAAGUGCUGAAAGCAUCUAAGCACGAAACUUGCCCCGAGAUGAGUUCUCCCUGAGACUUUAAGUCUCCUGAAGGAACGUUGAAGACGACGACGUUGAUAGGCCGGGUGUGUAAGCGCAGCGAUGCGUUGAGCUAACCGGUACUAAUGAACCGUGAGGCUUAACCUUACAACGCCGAAG
Molecule: ribosomal RNA, 2921 nt
Filed under: Klebsiella pneumoniae
Lineage: Bacteria; Pseudomonadati; Pseudomonadota; Gammaproteobacteria; Enterobacterales; Enterobacteriaceae
Description: 23S ribosomal RNA
Rfam family: Bacterial large subunit ribosomal RNA
Source: RNAcentral